CUAGACACACCCAAAUAACGCACUACUGAAGGAAAAGUACGGAGGAAGGACAGAAGGGGGUGGUUUGCCAAAGAAGGGAAGAAAUGUAAAAGAAAGAAUGACUAACCAAGUUUGGCAGCAAAGUGUUUUUUGUCGUCAUCCUGAAACAACCUGGCCUGAAUUAAAAAAUACAGCAACAGGCGUGGCUCACGCCCCAAGACUGGCCGCAGAGAAACCGCAGGACAGGAGAGACGUGCGCACGACAGGGAGAGGAGGGAGCGACAGACUGUCAACAGGAGGACAGAAAGAUGCCGAGGGCACACGCUGUGGGAAAGACCGCUACAGUGAGGGGGAAAGGACACACCCAUGUGUAAUGGGCUGCUCGGCUGAACUUCGCCACAGUGCAGUGUGCAACGCCGUGCCACAUGGCAGUGGACUCCGGUCCACAGAGACCAGAGCAGCCCCUUUUCUAAUCUAUUCAAUGCUAUCGAUCGAAGCCCCUUUUGGAAUUGGAAAGUCAAAAUCUCCCACGUUCCAUGAUACUAAUUAACUGCUGCAGAAGGGGGACCGGAGUUCCCCGUUACUCAAGCAAUGGGGGAAAUGUUCCCCCAAAUCCGGGUACAGCACGGCUGCAGCUCAGAGGGGUCUACAGUGUCCCUUUCAGCAGACUUAAAAAAAAAAAAAAAAAAAAAAAGCCUGAGUUUAGCCCAGCGAGGGUAGCCCAGGGACUGAUCAGAACAGCACAGGCCGAAUGAAAGGCAGCAACCUCUGAGCCUAAGGGAACCUGAACUGAAGAGUGCUGUAAACAAUGCUUUCAGGACUGUGUGUAUAUGAAAGGGGUAAGAUACUACCCACAAGGUGCAAGUGAAACACCGAUGUGGAACAUUCUAUCGGUAUACCCAAAGGUACAGGGCUGCUUAAACCACAGGCUUUUGUUUUUUUUUGGGAAAGCCCACACCAACAUCAACGGUGCUUGGGAAUCAUAACUUUCGGCUUAGCUAAAGAAUGUGAAAUCAAACCGUUGCAGGUAGGCUCCUGUUAGUCACCCUGGAUGACAUUUGAAGUUAACCGGUGUCAGGCCAAGACAUGAAUGCCAACGAAAACACGUGUGGUUACCGUGAUGCUGUACUACGCAAGAGGCAAAGAUAUAAUUAAGGUUUGACCAGUACAAACAGCGCUUUCUCCUAUCACAGUGACACACACGUAGGCUAUUCAACAGCACGGUGGGGGAACUUAAGGACGCUUCCCCAGCAGCCGCGUAAAAAACUUGGAAGUGUUGAAAAAUAAAUGGUCGUACGGUUUAAAUUAAGCAGAAAGUGCAAUGUUACGUCAUAACCAAACGUCCAGUGAAAUGCAUCCCAACUGGAAGCCCUUUACCCUCGUAUAGGUUUUAAAACGCUCUGGCCUGUGCCUACCUUGUGUUGGUACUGUUCCAGAAGACAACGUGUCUCUUCGCCAAUGCUGCGGAGACUACAUGUAGCAUAAAAACGGUCGUCCUCCAAGCUUUGGAAGUUCCAGGACACCAAAGCCAACCCAUGACGCCUGUCGGACACUGUUUGUGGAUGAGGAGCAGUCUCCGGUGGUCGUUUUGGUCGAAGUAGGGGGUUGGGUGAGUUAGAGACAGGUAAAAUAUACGGCAGAACGCCUUGGGGAAUAAUUUUUAAAAAAAGGUAGUCUAGUCCAUCCAGUCCCGAUCAACGGUUAAUUCAUGCACGCCA
Anguilla rostrata (American eel) is the source of this 1697-nucleotide long non-coding RNA. RefSeq lists it as uncharacterized. The record is from RefSeq and is a predicted model, not a curated record. Lineage: Eukaryota; Metazoa; Chordata; Actinopteri; Anguilliformes; Anguillidae. The transcript is spliced from 2 exons.